AUACCAGCUGGCUGCAACUGUUUAUUAAAAACACAGCACUGUGCAAACACGAAAGUGGACGUAUACGGUGUGACGCCUGCCCGGUGCCGGAAGGUUAAUUGAUGGGGUCAGCGCAAGCGAAGCUCCUGAUCGAAGCCCCGGUAAACGGCGGCCGUAACUAUAACGGUCCUAAGGUAGCGAAAUUCCUUGUCGGGUAAGUUCCGACCUGCACGAAUGGCGUAAUGAUGGCCAGGCUGUCUCCACCCGGGACUCAGUGAAAUUGAACUCGCUGUGAAGAUGCAGUGUACCCGCGGCAAGACGGAAAGACCCCGUGAACCUUUACUAUAGCUUGACACUGAACACUGGUCCUUGAUGUGCAGGAUAGGUGGGAGGCUUUGAAGUGUGGACGCCAGUCUGCAUGGAGCCAUCCUUGAAAUACCACCCUUUAAUGGCUGGUGUUCUAACGUGGACCCGUAAUCCGGGUUGCGGACAGUGUCUGGUGGGUAGUUUGACUGGGGCGGUCUCCUCCUAAAGAGUAACGGAGGAGCACGAAGGUUGGCUAAUCCUGGUCGGACAUCAGGAGGUUAGUGCAAUGGCAUAAGCCAGCUUGACUGCGAGCGUGACGGCGCGAGCAGGUGCGAAAGCAGGUCAUAGUGAUCCGGUGGUUCUGAAUGGAAGGGCCAUCGCUCAACGGAUAAAAGGUACUCCGGGGAUAACAGGCUGAUACCGCCCAAGAGUUCAUAUCGACGGCGGUGUUUGGCACCUCGAUGUCGGCUCAUCACAUCCUGGGGCUGAAGUAGGUCCCAAGGGUAUGGCUGUUCGCCAUUUAAAGUGGUACGCGAGCUGGGUUUAGAACGUCGUGAGACAGUUCGGUCCCUAUCUGCCGUGGGCGCUGGAAGAUUGAGGGGGGCUGCUCCUAGUACGAGAGGACCGGAGUGGACGCAUCACUGGUGUUCGGGUUGUCAUGCCAAUGGCACUGCCCGGUAGCUACAUGCGGAAGAGAUAAGUGCUGAAAGCAUCUAAGCACGAAACUUGCCCCGAGAUGAAUCUUCCCUGAGCCUUUAAGGCUCCUGAAGGAACGUUGAAGACGACGACGUUGAUAGGCCGGGUGUGUAAGCGCAGCGAUGCGUUGAGCUAACCGGUACUAAUGAACCGUGAGGCUUAACCUU
This 1148-nucleotide ribosomal RNA is filed under the name Salmonella enterica. Its description in RNAcentral is "partial 23S ribosomal RNA". It matches the Rfam family "Bacterial large subunit ribosomal RNA", at positions 1783 to 2925 of the family's 2925-position model. Lineage: Bacteria; Pseudomonadati; Pseudomonadota; Gammaproteobacteria; Enterobacterales; Enterobacteriaceae. RNAcentral also lists the same sequence under 1 other name. The record is from RNAcentral.